This is a non-coding RNA of Amborella trichopoda, 1500 nucleotides long. NCBI's taxonomy places the organism in Eukaryota, Viridiplantae, Streptophyta, Magnoliopsida, Amborellales, Amborellaceae. The record is from RefSeq and is a predicted model, not a curated record.
UUCACCUCAUUUUCCAUCAUCCUUAUUCAUCAUCACUUUUAUUUCACCUUCGUCUCUUUUGGAAGACCUAGCAAUAGUCAAGCUAGUCUUCACCUCCCCUCUUUCUCUUCUUUACUUGUUUGACCGGAGGGUAGGCUGAACCUUGAGCCGUCGUGUCAGUCUUGUCAUCGAGCAGUAUUGUUGUCGUGCCGGUCUGAGUUACUGUGCACAUCUUGCUGCCGUGUCAGACUAGCCGUUGCACCAGACUGGCCAUCUUGUUAGUUCUGUCGUCGUGCCGGCCUGAGUUACCGUGCUCAUCUUGCUGCCGCGUUAAACUAACCAUUGUGCCAGAUUGGUCGGUGUUGAUUAUGUCGUUGAGUAAUAUUGUCGCCGUGCCGGUUUGAGUUACCAUGCACGUCAGGUCAGUCACUGUACUAGUCUAGCCACUGUGCCAGCCUAGCCGCACAGUCAAACUUCUUCUCUCACUUUCACUUCACCCUGUAAGAAGGUGGGGACAUAUACCCCACUUGUCUGUACUUUUUAUUGUGUGUGUGUUUGCAGGAAAGGAGAAACAGUUCUAGGGAGGCGAUUCCAAACCGGCCAUAAGCUAGGGGCUUUCCAAUAUGAUCUAAGAGGGCGCCCACGCGAGCCAAACCGAGUGUGUCACGGAUCCACGUGAGGUAAUGUGACGACCCAGACUUUUUACGACUGUGUUGCGAGAAGCAGCGCUAGUUGGGUUGAGGGCCAGCACCGGUCGGGUUGUGUGCUAGCACCGGUCAGGUUGUGUGUCAGCGCCAGUCGGGUUAUGUGCCAACGCCAGUCGGGUUGUCUACCAACGUUAGUCCGGUUGUGUGCCAGCACCGGUUGGCGUUGUGUGCAGUGCUGGCUAGGUUGUGUGCAGCGCCGGCUGAGAAGAGGAGAAAGUGCCAGCGUUGGCUAAGAAGAGGAGAAAGUGCCAACGCCGUCUGGGUUGUGUGCAGCACCGGCUGAGUAGAGACCGCAACUCCGGCUAUGUAGAUAAGCAGCGCCUGCUGUGUCUCUGACAUGCAUGAGUUAAGUAUGCCACUUGUUGAAUGCAUGUUGUUUGAGUGUCACUUAUUAAUAUUUUGAAGUCCUUUGGCGUCACUUGGGCAGCCACCCCACCCUUAAAAGUACUUAAGCUUCUUCUCUCACCCAUGCCACUCAUUCUCACUUCAUUUCUCUCUCUCAGACACAAGGUUGGAAGAAGCGGCUGUUGGAGGGCAGCCAUUGUUGGGUGGGUGAGAGCUGUGUGAAGAUGAUUAGAGAAAGAACCAUUAUUGUUUAGAGUGAAGGGUGGUGGCAUCUAUGCUCAAGGUCGGUGGCAGUUUGAGGGUUUGAAGCUCUGAAUUAAGAAGUUUGAGAAGCCGUCUUCCGAAGACCUUCACAGUAUGUUUUGGUGGUUUCAGCUAUAUGAUAUGUACUUCUUUUUAUGUAUUUUGGUCCAGUAGCGCCUCGAAGAAUUGUAAAGACUUUUGAUAAUGAAUGAUAGAAAUUGUUGUA